UUUGUUUAAAUAUUAGUUGUUGUGACAUUCCCCAAUGAGUACAAACGGAAUACCUUCUUUCUAGGUGGAUUGAAAUGAAUGGAUUUUAGUGAGUUCAAACCUUAACCCAAACCCACUAUUAAGAAUGUGUUUAUUUCAAUCAUUUUCUAAUUAUCAAUAAACUUUAGAGUCAAACUCAUGUGUCUAUACUAGUCAUUGGCAUUGAACUAAACCUAACAUUUUCAAACAUACCCUUAUUCUAUCAAAAACUCUACCUUGCUAGUAUUUUAUUUUUUUAAAAAAUCUAAUUUGAAGGUUUCCCCAAAAUUCUAAGGUCAGAGAAACAUGCUAGAACACCAG
RNAcentral lists this long non-coding RNA (339 nucleotides) under Glycine max (soybean). RNAcentral's name for it is "long non-coding RNA (GMAX_LNC002236)". Lineage: Eukaryota; Viridiplantae; Streptophyta; Magnoliopsida; Fabales; Fabaceae. The record is from RNAcentral.